RNAcentral lists this ribosomal RNA (255 nucleotides) under uncultured bacterium. RNAcentral's name for it is "partial 16S ribosomal RNA". It matches the Rfam family "Bacterial small subunit ribosomal RNA", at positions 524 to 776 of the family's 1533-position model. The record is from RNAcentral.
GACAGAGGGUGCAAACGUUUGUUCGGAAUUACUGGGCGUAAAGCGCGCGUAGGCGGACCUGCAAGUCGGGGGUGAAAGCCCGAGGCUCAACCUCGGAACUGCCUUCGAUACUGCGGGUCUCGAGUCCGGGAGAGGUGAGUGGAAUUCCUGGUGUAGCGGUGAAAUGCGCAGAUAUCAGGAGGAACACCGGUGGCGAAGGCGGGUCUCUGGGCAACAACUGACGCUGGAGGAGCGAAAGCGUGGGGAGCGAACAGG